GAUAGUGUGGCAUAGUGGUUUGAGUGUUGGACUACGACUCUAGAAACCAGGGUUCAAUUCUCCACUCCACCA
Phrynosoma platyrhinos (Desert horned lizard) is the source of this 72-nucleotide non-coding RNA. The record is from the annotation of a GenBank genome assembly. NCBI's taxonomy places the organism in Eukaryota, Metazoa, Chordata, Lepidosauria, Squamata, Phrynosomatidae.